This 412-nucleotide ribosomal RNA is filed under the name uncultured bacterium. Its description in RNAcentral is "bacterial SSU rRNA". It matches the Rfam family "Bacterial small subunit ribosomal RNA", at positions 102 to 499 of the family's 1533-position model. The record is from RNAcentral.
ACGGGUGAGUAACACGUGGGCAACCUACCUGUAAGACUUGGGAUAACUCCGGGAAACCGGGGCUAAUACCGGAUAACUCAGUUCCUCGCAUGAGGAACGGUUGAAAGGUGGCUUUUUGCUACCACUUACAGAUGGACCCGCGGCGCAUUAGCUAGUUGGUGAGGUAACGGCUCACCAAGGCGACGAUGCGUAGCCGACCUGAGAGGGUGAUCGGCCACACUGGGACUGAGACACGGCCCAGACUCCUACGGGAGGCAGCAGUGGGGAAUUGUUCGCAAUGGGCGCAAGCCUGACGACGCAACGCCGCGUGGAGGAUGAAGGUCUUCGGAUUGUAAACUCCUGUUGCCCGGGACGAAACGCCUCGACCUAAUACGUCGAGGUCUGACGGUACCGGGUGAGGAAGCCCCGGCUA